RNAcentral lists this long non-coding RNA (568 nucleotides) under Homo sapiens (human). Its description in RNAcentral is "non-protein coding lnc-PLCD3-4:5". The record is from RNAcentral. Lineage: Eukaryota; Metazoa; Chordata; Mammalia; Primates; Hominidae.
CGCCGCCAUUUUGGGCUGGGAGGAGGCAGCGGAGGGACUCGCUGCGCACAUCAAGAAAGAAAACCAAGGCACUAGAAAGCAAGCACACUUAAGUAUUGAAGAUAAUUACAUCUUAAAUUUUGCCUGAACUGUAUAUUGUAGCAUACUUAAACCCAUUCAAGGAAAAAAUUGGCAAAUUGAAAAUUCUCCCAUUAAAGAUUGAUAUUUUUGCAAACUGACAAAUUUAACGAUUUCGGUACCCCUCCCCAAAAAUGCAGUCACAUAAAAUAUAUCAAUACUAUUUUGAAUUAGCUCUAGAAAUCACACUGAAACUAUGUUACAUUUACAAAUAUUAAAUUUAUUAUAACUAAAAUGAAUUUAAUUGUUCUCAGAUUUGGCCACCUUAUAGCUCCGUUUAAGGAGGGGAUUUGUUAAAAACAAAAAUGCAUUAUAACUUGGUCAAAUUACUUUCACAUUAAGGAAAAAAACUUCUAAAAAGGAAAACAAGAAAAGCAACUCUUCAGUUUCACAUAAUUAAAAGAACAGGAGAAAGCACGCAAGCUACAUAUAGCUAAAUUUACGAAACCAA